This 253-nucleotide ribosomal RNA is filed under the name uncultured bacterium. Its description in RNAcentral is "partial 16S ribosomal RNA". It matches the Rfam family "Bacterial small subunit ribosomal RNA", at positions 524 to 776 of the family's 1533-position model. The record is from RNAcentral.
UACGUAGGGGGCGAGCGUUGUCCGGAGUUACUGGGCGUAAAGCGCACGCAGGCGGUCUGCUAAGUUUGGAGUGACAGUUGGUGGCUCAACCACCAAAGUGCUUCGAAAACUGACAGACUUGAGGGCUUCAGAGGGACACGGAAUUCCGGGUGGAGUGGUGAAAUGCGUAGAUAUCGGGAGGAACACCGGUGGCGAAGGCGGCGACCUGGGUAGAUACUGACGCUGAGGUGCGAAAGCGUGGGGAGCAAACAGG